This 166-nucleotide small RNA is filed under the name human gut metagenome. RNAcentral's name for it is "Clostridiales-1 RNA". It matches the Rfam family "Clostridiales-1 RNA". The record is from RNAcentral.
GAUGCCAGGGUAGAAAGGUCUAAACCCACAUGAGCUUGCUCAUAUGUGGGUGAAAGACCUUGAGACCCGCCCCGAUAUGAGCAUAAAAGUGUGAUAAUAAUCACACGAUAUGCGAAUAUUGGGAAGGAGUGUGAGAGUGCGGAGCACGGAGCAAUCCGUCGGCAUC